AUUGAACGCUGGCGGCAGGCCUAACACAUGCAAGUCGAGCGGAUGAGGAGCUUGCUUCUUGAUUCAGCGGCGGACGGGUGAGUAAUGCCUAGGAAUCUGCCUGGUAGUGGGGGACAACGUUUCGAAAGGAACGCUAAUACCGCAUACGUCCUACGGGAGAAAGCAGGGGACCUUCGGGCCUUGCGCUAUCAGAUGAGCCUAGGUCGGAUUAGCUAGUUGGUGAGGUAAUGGCUCACCAAGGCGACGAUCCGUAACUGGUCUGAGAGGAUGAUCAGUCACACUGGAACUGAGACACGGUCCAGACUCCUACGGGAGGCAGCAGUGGGGAAUAUUGGACAAUGGGCGAAAGCCUGAUCCAGCCAUGCCGCGUGUGUGAAGAAGGUCUUCGGAUUGUAAAGCACUUUAAGUUGGGAGGAAGGGUUGUACGUUAAUACCGUGCAAUUUUGACGUUACCGACAGAAUAAGCACCGGCUAACUCUGUGCCAGCCGCCGCGGUAA
Molecule: ribosomal RNA, 498 nt
Filed under: uncultured bacterium
Lineage: Bacteria
Description: partial 16S ribosomal RNA
Rfam family: Bacterial small subunit ribosomal RNA
Source: RNAcentral